UCUCGGCCUCCCAAAGUGCUGGGAUUACAGGCGUGAGCCACUGCGCCCGGCUGACUCUCCUUUUAUACCAAGGCUUUACUCAUAGGGGAGAUCGUGGUGUAUCUUUUGGCCCAGAAAUCAGGUGAUGUGUUUCUCCUGCCUGAACUUUGCUCACAGGGAGCAUUGUGACAUAUCACUAGGCCCAGCACCCAGGUGAUGGGACUCUACUGCCUGUCCCCUGCUUUCAGGAGGAAAUUGUAACAUAUCUCUGACCAAGCACCCAGGUCAUAUCUCUGACCCAAGCACUCUUCUGCCUGGUCCCUGUUCUCAGGGAAGAUUGUGACAUAGCCCUGGCCCAGCACCCAGAUGAUGCAGAUGAUGUAAUACUCCUGCUCACUCUCUAUCCACAGGUUCUGCGCACAAAGGAGAUUGUGACAUACUGCUGUGCCUAACACUAAGGUGAUGUGACUUCUCUUCUUUGGCUAUGUCCUUAGAAGGCAUUGAGAUACACUACUGAACCAGCACCAAGAUGCUGUGAGUCCUCUGCCUGAACCCUGACCACAGGGAGCAUUGUGACAUAUUUCUUGACCCAUUGCAAUGGACAAAGCUCAGGUGAUAUAACUCUUCUGCUUGAGCCCUGCCAAAAGAAAAGAUUGCCACAGAUCACUGGACCCAGCACAUAGGUGAUAUGACUCUUUAUUUGCCUGAAACCUUCAUAUUUUAGAUAUAGUGACAUAUCACCAGAACAGAUACCUAAAGGUUAGAUGGCUCCUUCCUGAGCCCUUCCCACAGGGGUCCUUGUGAUGUGUUUCUGUAUCCAUCAUCCAGGAUUUGAAACCCUCUACUUCUGCCAGCAUUUUGCCCACAGGAAAUAUUAUGACAUGUUGCUGGGCCCGGCAACCAGGUGAUCUUACUCUUCUGCCUGUGCCCUGCUUUCAGGAGGGGAUUGUAAAAUUUCUGGGUCAAGCACCCAGUAACAUGACUCUCCUGCCUGGUGCCUGUUCUCAGGGAAGAUUGUGACCUGUUUCCCAGCACACAGCUGAAGUGAAUUUUUUUUUUUUUUUUUUAGAUGGAGUCUCACUCUAUCACUCAGGCUGCAGUGUAGUGGCAUGAUCUCGG
Non-coding RNA from Chlorocebus sabaeus (green monkey), 1098 nucleotides. The record is from RefSeq and is a predicted model, not a curated record. NCBI's taxonomy places the organism in Eukaryota, Metazoa, Chordata, Mammalia, Primates, Cercopithecidae.